CCCAGACUCCUACGGGAGGCAGCAGUGGGGGAUAUUGCACAAUGGGGGGAACCCUGAUGCAGCGACGCCGCGUGGGUGAAGGAGCGUUUCGGCGCGUAAAGCCCUAUCGGCAGGGAAGAAGGAGGACGGUACCUGACUAAGAAGCCCCGGCUAACUACGUGCCAGCAGCCGCGGUAAUACGUAGGGGGCAAGCGUUAUCCGGAUUUACUGGGUGUAAAGGGGGCGCAGACGGCAGCGCAAGCCAGGAGUGAAAGCCCGGGGCCCAACCCCGGGACUGCUCUUGGAACUGCGCGGCUGGAGUGCAGGAGGGGCAGGCGGAAUUCCUGGUGUAGCGGUGAAAUGCGUAGAUAUCAGGAGGAACACCGGUGGCGAAGGCGGCCUGCUGGACUGCGACUGACGUUGAGGCCCGAAAGCGUGGGGAGCAAACAGGAUUAGAUACCCUCGUACA
This 448-nucleotide ribosomal RNA is filed under the name uncultured bacterium. RNAcentral describes it as "partial 16S ribosomal RNA". It matches the Rfam family "Bacterial small subunit ribosomal RNA", at positions 330 to 794 of the family's 1533-position model. The record is from RNAcentral.